AACGUUCCUUCCCACAAUGCACUACGGCACCCUGCGCUGUAUAAAGUUGAGUGUGACUUCCUCUCUGCCUCUCAGUCUGAAACUACCUGAGUGAUGUGUCGCCCUCGUGUGCGCGGCUUUCACUUAAAUAUUAGCUGCUGUGUCCCCUGCUGAGCCAGCAUAUCAGCAUUGUGUUCACUAUGGGAUAGAGCUACUAACCAGAUGCCCCAUCUGUGGGCCAAAAGUUUUCAGACCGAGCCUCUGCUGAGCUGAUCAGUGUGGAGCUGCAGGUGGACUGACCCAGGGAGCAGAUGGACCUGCAGGGGGCAGCAAAUACCUGGAGGAGCUGAAACUGACUCAGCUAAAGCCUGCCUGGCUGGUCUGGAUGAGGUGAAGAAGUUUGUCCUCUGACUGGACAUGACAUCUGAACAGCUGUUUUUUGGGUCGUGUGCUCCAGCUGAUGGAGGCUGAGCCUGUACAUGAAAGUGUUGAGCAUUUUGUUUGGAAGCAUCACAUACUGUCACAUCUUCAAGAAGAUUUCAAUAAAAUUUGAAUUUGCUCAA
Notolabrus celidotus (New Zealand spotty) is the source of this 542-nucleotide long non-coding RNA. RefSeq lists it as uncharacterized. The record is from RefSeq and is a predicted model, not a curated record. Lineage: Eukaryota; Metazoa; Chordata; Actinopteri; Labriformes; Labridae. The transcript has 5 exons.